This 264-nucleotide long non-coding RNA is filed under the name Elaeis guineensis (African oil palm). Its description in RNAcentral is "long non-coding RNA (EGUI_LNC070830)". Lineage: Eukaryota; Viridiplantae; Streptophyta; Magnoliopsida; Arecales; Arecaceae. The record is from RNAcentral.
AGCUACCUGUGUGAUUGAGUUCCUCUAUCAUGAGUCCUGACUGAAUUAGGGUUAAGGUGAACUCGUCAAACCCAACAUCAGUCAUAUGAAUCAAUCGAUCGAUCCGAGUCCGAUGUGAAACCCCAAUGGAAAACUCUUUUCCAUUAUUUCACUCUGCCAUGGCCAUGGGCUUAAGGACUCGAUCUUUCGAUCACCAUAGGACUACUCCUCUCAUCUACCGAGGUUGAUAGAUCCCAUCUUGGUGCGAUCUGGUUCCUACAAUGA